ACAGAGGGCUCAAGCGUUAAUCGGAAUCACUGGGCUUAAAGGGUCCGCAGGCGGAUUGGAAAGUAUCUUGUGAAAUACCACGGCUCAACCGUGGAACUGCUCGGUAAACUUCCAAUCUUGAACACGGUAGGGGCCAUCGGAACUCUAGGUGGAGCGGUGAAAUGCGUAGAUAUCUAGAGGAACGCCAGAGGCGAAGGCGGAUGGCUGGGCCGUUGUCGUCAGGACGGAAGACAUGGGUAGCGAACGGGAUUAGAUACCCGCGUAGUCC
RNAcentral lists this ribosomal RNA (268 nucleotides) under uncultured bacterium. Its description in RNAcentral is "partial 16S ribosomal RNA". It matches the Rfam family "Bacterial small subunit ribosomal RNA", at positions 525 to 796 of the family's 1533-position model. The record is from RNAcentral.